This is a long non-coding RNA of Aquila chrysaetos chrysaetos, 339 nucleotides long. RefSeq lists it as uncharacterized. Lineage: Eukaryota; Metazoa; Chordata; Aves; Accipitriformes; Accipitridae. The transcript is spliced from 3 exons. The record is from RefSeq and is a predicted model, not a curated record.
UAAUGCAGAUUUUUCUUUAGUUCUCAAGUUCUUUAAUCUUCUCUCUGAAUUCCUUUUAUGAUUCAUCAGGAAGUUUCCAGGAGCUGUUUGUUCGCACCAGACAUGCCUGAAGAGUUUGCACAAUAUGCAGCUGCUGUACACAUCAGCCAGCCCAGGGAACAAGCAGCAAAGACCCCACAGAUAAAUACCACAGUAGAAGUAUGAAGCUACAAGUCUAGACUGCUUCCCUCCAGUUAAAAGCAUCAAACUGUCCCUGAUAUGCAGAGAACAUCUAUUUGCAUUUGGAUUGUCUGUGUGGUCUCCCAAGUCUGUUCUCAAUCUGAGGAGGGACUGAUUUCA